AUACGGAGGGUGCAAGCGUUACUCGGAAUCACAGGGCGUAAAGCGCGCGCAGGCGGCUAUUUAAGUUGGAUGUGAAAGCCUAUGGCUCAACCAUAGAACUGCAUCCAAAACUAUUUAGCUAGAGUGUGGGAGAGGAAGAUGGAAUUAGUUGUGUAGGGGUAAAAUCCGUAGAGAUAACUAGGAAUACCAAAAGCGAAGGCAAUCUUCUGGAACACUACUGACGCUGAGGCGCGAAAGCGUGGGGAGCAAACAGGAUUAGAUACCCUAGUAGUCC
This 274-nucleotide ribosomal RNA is filed under the name uncultured bacterium. Its description in RNAcentral is "partial 16S ribosomal RNA". It matches the Rfam family "Bacterial small subunit ribosomal RNA", at positions 523 to 796 of the family's 1533-position model. The record is from RNAcentral.